This 1565-nucleotide ribosomal RNA is filed under the name Gecarcoidea natalis. RNAcentral's name for it is "bacterial LSU rRNA". It matches the Rfam family "Bacterial large subunit ribosomal RNA", at positions 1192 to 2762 of the family's 2925-position model. The record is from RNAcentral. Lineage: Eukaryota; Metazoa; Arthropoda; Malacostraca; Decapoda; Gecarcinidae.
UACCGAAGCUACGGAUUUAUAACAUCUGUUAUGAGUGGUAGGGGAGCGUUCCAUACUGGGAUGAAGUCAGAUCGUGAGGACUGGUGGACUGUAUGGAAGUGAGAAUGCCGGCGUGAGUAUCGAUUGGAGGUGAGAAUCCUCCACGCCGAUUGAGCAAGGUUUCCUGGGGAAGGUUCGUCCUCCUAGGGUUAGUCGGGACCUAAGGCGAGGCCGAAAGGCGUAGUCGAUGGACAACAGGUUGAUAUUCCUGUACCGGCGUAUAGAGGGAUGGAAUGACGGAGAAGGCUAGGCAAAGCAUGCGAUCGGAAGUGCAUGUCCAAGCAGAUGAGGUGUCAGUGUAGGAAAAUCCGCACUGUGUAACAUUGAGCUGUGAUGGGGAGUGAACCCUUCGGGUAUUAGCGAAGUUGCUGACGUCACGCUUCCAAGAAAAGUUUCUACUAUAUCUAUACGUUGCCCGUACCCAUAACCAACACUGGUGCUCAAGGAGAAUAUCCUAAGGCGAGCGAGAUAAUUGUAGCUAAGGAACUCGGCAAAAUGACCCCGUACGUUCGCAAUAAGGGGUGCUGGCUUCGGCCAGCCGCAGAAAAGAGGUCCAGCCAACUGUUUAUCAAAAACACAGCUCUCUGCCAAAGCGUAAGCUGAAGUAUAGGGGGUGACGCCUGCCCGGUGCCUGAAGGUUAAGGGAACCUGUUAGCAUUCUUUGCGAAGCAGUGAACUGAAGCCCAGGUGAACGGCGGCUGUAACUAUAACGGUCCUAAGGUAGCGAAAUUCCUUGUCGGGUAAGUUCCGACCUGCACGAAUGGAGUAACGAUUUCCCUACUGUCUCCACUACGAACUCGGUGAAAUUGCAGUACGAGUAAAGAUGCUCGUUACGCGCAGCAGGACGGAAAGACCCCGGGACCUUUACUAUAGUUUGGUAUUGGUGAUUGGGAUGAUUUGUGUAGGAUAGGUGGGAGACGUUGAUGCGGCCACGCUAGUGGUGGUGGAGUCGUUGGUGAAAUACCACUCUGAUUGUUCUGGUUAUCUCACUGUGGACCGUGAUCCGGUUCAAGGACAGUGCCUGAUGGGUAGUUUGACUGGGGCGGUCGCCUCCUAAAGGGUAACGGAGGCGCCCAAAGGUUCCCUCAGCCUGGUUGGUAAUCAGGUGGUGAGUGUAAGUGCACAAGGGGGCUUGACUGUGAGACUGACAGGUCGAGCAGGGACGAAAGUCGGGCUUAGUGAUCCGGUGGUUCCGCAUGGAAGGGCCAUCGCUCAACGGAUAAAAGCUACCCCGGGGAUAACAGGCUUAUCUCCCCCAAGAGUCCACAUCGACGGGGAGGUUUGGCACCUCGAUGUCGGCUCGUCGCAUCCUGGGGCUGGAGUCGGUCCCAAGGGUUGGGCUGUUCGCCCAUUAAAGCGGUACGCGAGCUGGGUUCAGAACGUCGUGAGACAGUUCGGUCCCUAUCCGUCGCGGGCGUUGGAAAUUUGAGAGGAGCUGUCCUUAGUACGAGAGGACCGGGAUGGACGUACCUCUGGUGUGCCAGUUGUCCCGCCUGGGGCAUGGCUGGUUGGCUACGUACGGAAGG